GUCCCUUGGGGGUCAGUGGAAGGAUGGUUUAAACUGUUGGCUUUCGACCACUACGACCCGGGUUCGAUUCCCGCAUCGGACA
Cordylochernes scorpioides is the source of this 82-nucleotide non-coding RNA. The record is from the annotation of a GenBank genome assembly. NCBI's taxonomy places the organism in Eukaryota, Metazoa, Arthropoda, Arachnida, Pseudoscorpiones, Chernetidae.